RNAcentral lists this ribosomal RNA (465 nucleotides) under uncultured bacterium. RNAcentral describes it as "bacterial SSU rRNA". It matches the Rfam family "Bacterial small subunit ribosomal RNA", at positions 335 to 792 of the family's 1533-position model. The record is from RNAcentral.
ACUCCUACGGGAGGCAGCAGUGGGGAAUAUUGCACAAUGGGGGAAACCCUGAUGCAGCCAUGCCGCGUGUGUGAAGAAGGCCUUCGGGUUGUAAAGCACUUUCAGUAGGGAGGAAGGUAGUGUAGUUAACACCUGCAUUGUUUGACGUUACCUACAGAAGAAGCACCGGCUAACUCCGUGCCAGCAGCCGCGGUAAUACGGAGGGUGCGAGCGUUAAUCGGAAUUACUGGGCGUAAAGCGCAUGCAGGCGGCCUGUUAAGUCAGAUGUGAAAGCCCGGGGCUUAACCUCGGAAUUGCAUUUGAAACUGGCAGGCUAGAGUCUUGUAGAGGGGGGUAGAAUUUCAGGUGUAGCGGUGAAAUGCGUAGAGAUCUGAAGGAAUACCAGUGGCGAAGGCGGCCCCCUGGACAAAGACUGACGCUCAGAUGCGAAAGCGUGGGGAGCAAACAGGAUUAGAUACCCUGGUA